This 2235-nucleotide ribosomal RNA is filed under the name Salmonella enterica subsp. enterica serovar Kentucky. RNAcentral's name for it is "bacterial LSU rRNA". It matches the Rfam family "Bacterial large subunit ribosomal RNA", at positions 594 to 2812 of the family's 2925-position model. Lineage: Bacteria; Pseudomonadati; Pseudomonadota; Gammaproteobacteria; Enterobacterales; Enterobacteriaceae. The record is from RNAcentral.
UGACUGCGUACCUUUUGUAUAAUGGGUCAGCGACUUAUAUUCUGUAGCAAGGUUAACCGUAUAGGGGAGCCGGAGGGAAACCGAGUCUUAACCGGGCGUUAAGUUGCAGGGUAUAGACCCGAAACCCGGUGAUCUAGCCAUGGGCAGGUUGAAGGUUGGGUAACACUAACUGGAGGACCGAACCGACUAAUGUUGAAAAAUUAGCGGAUGACCUGUGGCUGGGGGUGAAAGGCCAAUCAAACCGGGAGAUAGCUGGUUCUCCCCGAAAGCUAUUUAGGUAGCGCCUCGUGAAUUCAUCUCCGGGGGUAGAGCACUGUUUCGGCUAGGGGGCCAUCCCGGCUUACCAACCCGAUGCAAACUGCGAAUACCGGAGAAUGUUAUCACGGGAGACACACGGCGGGUGCUAACGUCCGUCGUGAAGAGGGAAACAACCCAGACCGCCAGCUAAGGUCCCAAAGUCAUGGUUAAGUGGGAAACGAUGUGGGAAGGCCCAGACAGCCAGGAUGUUGGCUUAGAAGCAGCCAUCAUUUAAAGAAAGCGUAAUAGCUCACUGGUCGAGUCGGCCUGCGCGGAAGAUGUAACGGGGCUAAACCAUGCACCGAAGCUGCGGCAGCGACGCUGAUGCGUUGUUGGGUAGGGGAGCGUUCUGUAAGCCUGCGAAGGUGGCCUGUGAGGGUUGCUGGAGGUAUCAGAAGUGCGAAUGCUGACAUAAGUAACGAUAAAGCGGGUGAAAAGCCCGCUCGCCGGAAGACCAAGGGUUCCUGUCCAACGUUAAUCGGGGCAGGGUGAGUCGACCCCUAAGGCGAGGCCGAAAGGCGUAGUCGAUGGGAAACGGGUUAAUAUUCCCGUACUUGGUGUUACUGCGAAGGGGGGACGGAGAAGGCUAUGUUGGCCGGGCGACGGUUGUCCCGGUUUAAGCGUGUAGGUGUGUGUUCCAGGUAAAUCCGGUUCACUUUAACACUGAGGCGUGAUGACGAGGCACUACGGUGCUGAAGCAACAAAUGCCCUGCUUCCAGGAAAAGCCUCUAAGCAUCAGGUAACAUCAAAUCGUACCCCAAACCGACACAGGUGGUCAGGUAGAGAAUACCAAGGCGCUUGAGAGAACUCGGGUGAAGGAACUAGGCAAAAUGGUGCCGUAACUUCGGGAGAAGGCACGCUGACACGUAGGUGAAGUGAUUUACUCACGGAGCUGAAGUCAGUCGAAGAUACCAGCUGGCUGCAACUGUUUAUUAAAAACACAGCACUGUGCAAACACGAAAGUGGACGUAUACGGUGUGACGCCUGCCCGGUGCCGGAAGGUUAAUUGAUGGGGUCAGCGCAAGCGAAGCUCCUGAUCGAAGCCCCGGUAAACGGCGGCCGUAACUAUAACGGUCCUAAGGUAGCGAAAUUCCUUGUCGGGUAAGUUCCGACCUGCACGAAUGGCGUAAUGAUGGCCAGGCUGUCUCCACCCGAGACUCAGUGAAAUUGAACUCGCUGUGAAGAUGCAGUGUACCCGCGGCAAGACGGAAAGACCCCGUGAACCUUUACUAUAGCUUGACACUGAACAUUGAGCCUUGAUGUGUAGGAUAGGUGGGAGGCUUUGAAGUGUGGACGCCAGUCUGCAUGGAGCCGACCUUGAAAUACCACCCUUUAAUGUUUGAUGUUCUAACGUGGACCCGUAAUCCGGGUUGCGGACAGUGUCUGGUGGGUAGUUUGACUGGGGCGGUCUCCUCCUAAAGAGUAACGGAGGAGCACGAAGGUUGGCUAAUCCUGGUCGGACAUCAGGAGGUUAGUGCAAUGGCAUAAGCCAGCUUGACUGCGAGCGUGACGGCGCGAGCAGGUGCGAAAGCAGGUCAUAGUGAUCCGGUGGUUCUGAAUGGAAGGGCCAUCGCUCAACGGAUAAAAGGUACUCCGGGGAUAACAGGCUGAUACCGCCCAAGAGUUCAUAUCGACGGCGGUGUUUGGCACCUCGAUGUCGGCUCAUCACAUCCUGGGGCUGAAGUAGGUCCCAAGGGUAUGGCUGUUCGCCAUUUAAAGUGGUACGCGAGCUGGGUUUAGAACGUCGUGAGACAGUUCGGUCCCUAUCUGCCGUGGGCGCUGGAGAACUGAGGGGGGCUGCUCCUAGUACGAGAGGACCGGAGUGGACGCAUCACUGGUGUUCGGGUUGUCAUGCCAAUGGCACUGCCCGGUAGCUAAAUGCGGAAGAGAUAAGUGCUGAAAGCAUCUAAGCACGAAACUUGCCCCGAGAUGAGUUCU